Chiloscyllium plagiosum (whitespotted bambooshark) is the source of this 478-nucleotide non-coding RNA. Lineage: Eukaryota; Metazoa; Chordata; Chondrichthyes; Orectolobiformes; Hemiscylliidae. The record is from RefSeq and is a predicted model, not a curated record.
GGGUGAAGCCCCCCAUAGUCAAGCAGUUGGUGGGAUUGUUGUGCGGAUGGGGGGAGACAGGGUCCUGUCGCCCAGAAUGUUCACUAACUGUCUCCUAUUUAACCCGUCUCACAGAGAAUAUCACCAAGGAGACCAGAAGAGCGCAGCGGGUUGGAUAAAGGAAACGUUACGGCGAAGAUUCACUUGAACCUCUGUGUAGCUGUGAGACUUGAAAAGGCUGGAUGCAUCAUACAUCGGAACAGUUUGGAGUGCGCAGCGCGCGAGAAACAUUCCCCGUCGAGAACCUGAGCCGAGCCAGGGUGGGAUGGAGCUCAGUUCCCCAACGAUCAUGGCCCCUGAGCAGCAGGUGCUCCGCCAAUGUUGGUCAGAAUCCGUAUAAUCUGUAUCCCAGCCACAUGUCCAACAUCGGACACUCUGGAAAGUCGUUCUGUCCCUCAGGGUAAGAGACUUUGCUCCCUGCCCCCCCCCCUCACCUCGA